UUAGAGUUUGAUCCUGGCUCAGGAUGAACGCUAGCGGCAGGCUUAACACAUGCAAGUCGAGGGGCAGCAUGUCCAGCAAUGGAUGAUGGCGACCGGCGGAAGGGUGCGUAACGCGUGAGCAACAUGCCCUAUACAGGGAGAUACACCAGGGAAACUUGGUCUAAUAUCCCAUAGCAUUCAUUGAAGGCAUCUUUAAUGAAUUAAAGCUUCGGUGGUAUAGGAUUGGCUCGCGUGACAUUAGCCAGAUGGUGAGGUAACGGCUCACCAUAGCAAUGAUGUCUAGGGGUUUUGAGAGGAAGGCCCCCCACACUGGGACUGAGACACGGCCCAGACUCCUACGGGAGGCAGCAGUGAGGAAUAUUGGACAAUGGAUGGAAAUCUGAUCCAGCCAUGCCGCGUGCAGGAAGACGGCCUUAUGGGUUGUAAACUGCUUUUAUACGGGAGCAAUAAGGGUUACGAGUAAUCCGAUGAGAGUACUGUAUGAAUAAGGAUCGGCUAACUCCGUGCCAGCAGCCGCGGUAAUACGGAGGAUCCGAGCGUUAUCCGGAAUUAUUGGGUUUAAAGGGUGCGUAGGCGGCCAUUUAAGUCAGCGGUGAAAUUUUGCAGCUUAACUGUAACAGUGCCGUUGAUACUGUUUGGCUAGGAUUUGGUUGUAGUGUGCGGGGUGUGUGGUGUAGCGGUGAAAUGCUUAGAUAUCACACAGAACACCGAUUGCGAAGGCAGCACACUAAGUCAUUAUUGACGCUGAGGCACGAAAGUGUGGGGAUCAAACAGGAUUAGAUACCCUGGUAGUCCACACUGUAAACGAUGAUAACUCGCUGUCGGCGAUACACAGUCGGUGGCCAAGCGAAAGCAUUAAGUGAUCCACCUGGGGAGUACGAUCGCAAGGUUGAAACUCAAAGGAAUUGACGGGGGCCCGCACAAGCGGAGGAGCAUGUGGUUUAAUUCGAUGAUACGCGAGGAACCUUACCUGGGCUAGAACGCAGAACGACGUUUCGGGAAACCGGAAUUCUCU
This 1015-nucleotide ribosomal RNA is filed under the name uncultured bacterium. Its description in RNAcentral is "bacterial SSU rRNA". It matches the Rfam family "Bacterial small subunit ribosomal RNA", at positions 1 to 1018 of the family's 1533-position model. The record is from RNAcentral.